This is a long non-coding RNA of Mirounga angustirostris (Northern elephant seal), 1111 nucleotides long. RefSeq lists it as uncharacterized. The record is from RefSeq and is a predicted model, not a curated record. The transcript is spliced from 4 exons. NCBI's taxonomy places the organism in Eukaryota, Metazoa, Chordata, Mammalia, Carnivora, Phocidae.
CGAGCUGCACUUCCGGGGUCCGCAGGCGACUGAGACGUCAUUGCGCAUGCGACGACGGCUGCGACAAUCCGGAAAUGGGCGGAGCGUGGUCGCUAGGUUGGUUCCUGUGGAACUAAGUGGGCUGGGAAAGGCUUGUGGGAGAUAUUAAACCACCCCUGGAGCCCAGGAAUAAAUCCCACUUGGUCGUGGAAUAUGAAUGUUUUCUAAUGGGAGGCAUUUAAAUGCCUUAGUUGAAGAUUGAUUCAAAGAAAAGCUCUCUUUUGGAUUCAUCUCAACAUCUAUCAGAGAGAGACACAGCGAGAGAGGGAACACAAGCAGGAGGAGUGGAAGCGGGAGAAGCAGGCUUCCCGCCGAGCAGGGAGCCCGAUGGGGGGCUCGAUCCCAGGACCCUGGGAUCAUGACCUGAGCCGAAGGCAGAUGCUUAACGACUGAGCCACCCAGGCGCCCCUGUCUUUUGGUUUUGUUGACUGUUUCCUUUGCUUUGCAAAAGCUUUUUAUCUUGAUGAAGUCCCAAUAGUUCAUUUUUGCCCUUGCUUCCCUUGCCUUUGGCGAUAUUUCUAGGAAGAAGUUGCUUCGGCUGAGGUCAAAGAGGUUGCUGCCUGUGUUCUCCUUUAGGAUUUUGAUGGACUCCUGUCUCAUGAAAAAGUGCUCAAUAUUGCUCGGCAUCAGGGAAAUCCAAAUCAAAACCUCAAUGAGAUACCACCUCACACCAGUCAGAAUGGCUAAAAUUAACAAGUCAGGAAACGACAGAUGUUGGCGGGGAUGUGGAGAAAGGGGAACCCUCCUACACUGUUGGUGGGAAUGCAAGCUGGUGCAGCCACUCUGGAAAACUGUAUGGAGGUUCCUCAAAAAGUUGAAAAUAGAGCUACCAUAUGACCCAGCAAUUGCACUACUGGGUAUUUACCCCAAAGAUACAAAAGUAGGGAUCCGAAAGGGUAUGUGUACCCCGAUGUUUAUAGCAGCAAUGUCCACAAUAGCCAAACUGUGGAAAGAGCCAAGAUGUCCAUCGACAGAUGAAUGGAUAAAGAAGAUGUGGUAUAGAUACACAAUGGAAUAUUAUGCAGCCAUCAAAAGGAAUGAGAUCUUGCCAUUUGCAAUGACGUGGGUGGAA